RNAcentral lists this unclassified non-coding RNA (345 nucleotides) under soil metagenome. RNAcentral's name for it is "partial contains 5.8S ribosomal RNA, internal transcribed spacer 2, and large subunit ribosomal RNA". The stretch from base 1 to 119 matches the Rfam family "5.8S ribosomal RNA", at positions 35 to 154 of the family's 154-position model. The record is from RNAcentral.
GAUGAAGAACGUAGCGAAAUGCGAUACGUAAUGUGAAUUGCAAAUUCAGUGAAUCAUCGAGUCUUUGAACGCACAUUGCGCCCGCUGGUAUUCCGGGGGGCAUGCCUGUCCGAGCGUCAUUGCUGCCCUCAAGCACGGCUUGUGUGUUGGGCCCCGUCCUCCGAUCCCGGGGGACGGGCCCGAAAGGCAGCGGCGGCACCGCGUCCGGUCCUCGAGCGUAUGGGGCUUUGUCACCCGCUCUGUAGGCCCGGCCGGCGCUUGCCGAUCAACCCAAAUUUUUAUCCAGGUUGACCUCGGAUCAGGUAGGGAUACCCGCUGAACUUAAGCAUAUCAAUAAGCGGAGGA